UCAGCACAGCAAAACAAAUCAAUUAGUCCAGUCACUGUUCUGCAUAGGCCUGCCUGGCUUCCUUGUGAACAUUCACAGUCCCAAUGGGAUCUCUCUCAUGUGAAGCAAGGCUCUAACCUGGAACAGCAGUUUUCUCUGGUUUCUCCUCCGGAUCCUUAGCUGACACUCCACUCCAGAGAUUAAAAAAGCUGUGUGCAUUCUUUCUCCCCGCAUCCUCAGCUGAUGCUCCACUCUAGAGAUUAUCAAAAAUUUUGUGUGUGCAGGCCUCUGCCUGCCUCCUUCUCAGGGUUACACCCACAGUGUUCCUCUGGCAAAUUUUGCAACCCUUGCCUGCUGGGCCGCUCGGCCGCUCGUCUCUCUGCUGCUAGCAGGAAACUGACCCCCUUCUGCCCCUCUCCAGUGCUGGAAAUACCUCUGAGCAUCUUCCCUCCUCCGAUCUUGAGUGAGAUGCUGCUCUGGAAGUGUGAGUUGGGCUGGCGGAGUGCCUGCCCGCUGCACCUUGCCAUCUGAGGACACCUCCUGCAGCUACACAUCAUCACUGAUAGCUGACAUCUGUGAUCAUGCAGAGCCACCAGCCAGCCAUACCCAGCCAUUUGGCACCAGAAACAAUAGCCAGAUCCAUUUAAAGAAGAUACAUCCACUGUGAGUGCAUGCCUUUAUUGUGGGUACCCACCCAAUAUAAGCUGACAGCUUCAGGGUUACAUUAAAUGACCUUGUUGUUGCCUGUGCCAGAAUUGUGAGUGGCUCAAAUGGCAGUCUGGUAUGUUUGAAAAGGCGGAGUAGCGAUGGAGUGUUACAAUUGCAAGUUUCCUGCUCCUUGAAAUGAGGCAGGAAAGGGGGUACUGAGAAGAGCCUGGAGAGACAGGAGCGUGAAGUAGUUACCUUCCUCACAGUGGGGAGCUGCCAUGAUGAGAAGGACCAGCCCAAAAGAGCCUUCAAGUGAUGCUGCAGUCUACUUCUUCCUAACAUCAGGAGACAGACCAAUUAAAAUGCUGCUGUUGCUGCUGCAAGCUUGGUCUCAGGAGCUUCUUGGGAGAAGAUGGCUAAGCCCCUUCCUGCCUCUAACUACUGCUAGCUCCUGGCUUGUUCUCAAAGCUUUUAAAGCCUACUGCCCAGCAUGCCACCAAGCUGCAGUCAGGAGACAGCCUGCAGAGGGAGCCUGCAUUUCCCAUGGGCCUCUCCCCAACCAUCACUACUGGAGUCUAAGGGUGCCUUGCCUGCCCCAGAUGCCUUGGCAGGCCACGCUGCUUUCACCUCCACUUUCACAUGAAGCACACCCGAGUGGCUGAGCUGGAUGACUACUACCACCACUGCUGCUGUUGUUGCUGCUGUUGUUCUGCUGCUGCUCACUCUCAGGAGAGAGGGAAAUUCCCUGCUCCACCACCUUGCACCACCCGACACAACACCUGCACUGGAUUACUUCCUAUCUGACUGACUGCUCCUGCCCUCUUCCACAGCUGCCUCACUGCAUCUGAUCCUGCUUUGUUUUCCUGCCUAUUGCUCCACUGCUGAGUGCCUGGCUGGAGGCCUGAGGGGCUUCUGGACUGAUCUUCACCAAACAAAGCCCCUCCACCACUCCAGCCAUCUUUUACAUCUGCCUCAGCAGCCUUCCCUCUAUGCUUUUGUCCUUGUGUGGUGUUCCCCCUCUCCCACAUUCCGCAAGUAUUACCUUCCCGGUUUUCUUCCUGUGGGUGUGUAGCUCAGUGAGAUUCAUCCCCCUUUCCACAAUCCCAGCCUGCCCCUAUUAGAUUCACCAGCCCCACUGUAUAUUUUGGUUUUCUUUAUUGUUUCCCCCUCCAUCAUGUGAAGCAAUUUUAAAGCAGGAUCCAUUGGGGGGGGGGGGGAGAUGCCUCCACAGAGCUUCGUGCAGCCCCCACUAUGGGGACAAAUUUUAGCUAAGCCCCCAAGGAGAUGCAUGCCCCUGCAGCCCCCACCCUGGAGGCAGAGUCCAACCAACCUCCUCCAAGGGUAGAGAAGCCUGCACCCUCUGCUGCAGGGGCAGGCAGGACUCCAGCAGGGAGUCAAGAGGGCCAGGGGGUCUCCCCUGGCCAACCUGCCCCGGAGGGGUUCCCAACCACCCUCUCCCAUCAUCAGAAACCAAGGGCAACAGCAGCGGGAAUGGCUUCUCUUCAGCCUCCUCCACAGAUGUGGGUGGGAAAGGCAAGGGCCCCACCCCCCAAGCCUAGACCACUGGUGCCUGAGGGGAUCAGGUGCACUACACCAGCCAGCACACCCACUCAGCCUGUCCCUGGCCCCAUCAAUGUGGCCCCCCAGUGGGGUAACUGAAGCUAUAUACAGAUGGCUGCAGGGUGACCUGAAGCUGUGUGGCCUGGACCCUCCACCGCCGGCCCUUCCAGCUCGGAUACCAGGGCCCCCUUUCCAGCACUCACCCGCAGGCAUGAGGUGAAGUGCCAACUACCCAAGUGGGAGAAUCUGCACUUUGAGACCUGGAUGCAAGCCCUAGCUUGUGUAGUGGGGGGCCCCAAAACCAUGGCAGCCUCCCACUUUCAUGGCAAGGGGGACUUUCUCCUUGCCUUGGAGGCUGCUGCACAAAAGGCGGUGGAGAGGGGGCUCAUCGUGGAGGGUGAGUACACCCCCCUCAAGUCCCUAGAAGAGCUGGGGACUAGGGUGGUCUUCAGCUCCUUUGCUCCCUAUAUCUCUAAUUGGGCACUCGUCCUCCAGCUUCAAACCCUGGGGAGAGUUAUCUCCCCAGUGGUGGCCCUCCUUGCUGGGGUGCUGAGACUUAGGUUUCCGUCACGUGCACUGUUUCUGCUGCCAGGUUAUGAUCCAUAUGGUGGUGGGAACGUGGCUGGAGAUUGAAGGGUGCCUCCUGAUUCUUUUUCAAGGGGCCCUGGUGAGGGUGUCCUAUAUACUGAAGGACCUGCAGUGUUUCUGGUGCUGUACCCCAGGGCACUUGUGACACAAGUGCCCCAUGGGCCAGGAGAAGAGGGCAUCUGCAGGUACCACUGAUUAGAGGGGUGCCCCUGAUGCUGGUACCCCUCCCCUUUCAGGCCCCCCUGGCAUUCCAGCCACAUUAUCCAGCCCUCCCUGUGAGCUCAGGAGACCCAACCGCCAAACCAAGUUUGGUGGAGUCCCAGGGAAGACAGAAGCAGCCCCCAGUCAUGGCCUGCUGCAUCUGUCCCACCCCCCAACCCUCACCUUCUCCUACUGGAGCCUGUCCACCUGAGGAACACCCAUGGUUGAGUGUGUGCAGGUCCCCUCUGGGUGCAAAGCCAAGAGGAAGGCUCGGGUGCAGCUAGAGCCCUGUGAUGUGGAGGACUUCUCCUCGCAUCCCAAGACCAACACAUGAGGAGAAGGAGCAGUCAAGCUCCCAGGGGCCUCUGUGGCUGCGUCUGACAAUCCCUCCAUGGAAAAACCAAAUGGAUGAUCCCCAUGGAGGAGGUUUUGGGACUGCUGGACAGUUCCAAACAGGAUCCCAUGGAGGAAACCCCUCACUCUGCUGGCCAGGUCCUACCCCUGAGACCAUGGGUGCCAAGGCUGAGGCCUCAGCCUACCCAAAGGAAAGUCUGGCACUGGAGCCCCCCACAAUGAUCUGGGGGUGACAGGGUCCCUGGGGCUCACCCCAGUGAAUCCUGAGGAGGGAGGUCCCCUUUUCCAGGACCCUGAGGUGGGCACUGAAGCCACCCUGAUGGAUUUCUUCCAUCCCCCUCCCAGAAAAACUUCACUUCCAGCCUGCCCAAGGUGCUGCACCAGAGUCAGCUGGGAUGGGAUCCCCUAAUCAACAGGCUGAUCUUGUCAAGGACCCUGCACAGACCCCACCAGGCUCCAGCUCUGCCCUACUAUCUUGUGAAGGAGCCCCACUCCCACCCUUAAUCCCACCUCUGUCCCAAGGGGCUACAGAGCUCUGCCAAUCCCAACUGGAGUCCAGGGUUUUAGCAGACUGGGAGGUUCAAAUGGUGCCUAAGGAGCCCAUUGAGUUCCAGAACCAGGAGAAGGACACCCAAUAACCAGCAGGUUCCACGGAUCCUGCAGAGCUCUUGGUGUCAGUGGCCCCCAGGGGUAAGCUACUUGCAUUUCUUGACCGCAACUACACACGGCAGUCUGCCAGCAAGGUAUAGCUUGCCUCAGACAGCCGGGGAGAUUUUUGAAAGCAUCCUUGCCACUGCAAGGGCACUGGUCAGGGAACACAAGGGGCCCAAAAGGUACAAUGCCUGUAUCUAUAGGUGGACCUGCAGUUUCACAGAUGCCCUCUAUGCUUACAGGAAGGUGCUGUGUGAGGCAGAGAACUCCACACCUGGUGUUGAAAUGCAUGAGGCCCUUGCUGAACUGUCUACUCCACCCUGCCAGCCAUUAAGUCAUUUAAGAUCAUGACCCUAAAUGUCCAUGGCUGCAGAAAGGGUCUAUGGAGAUGCUGGAUGCACUCCUUCCUUCAGGAAGUAGGGUACCAUGUAAUAUUUUUGCAGUAGACCCUGACAAGUAUGGCUGAUGAACCAUCUGUUGCACCUCUGGUUCCAAGAGCAGGGGCUGGUCCUGAACCUUCUCAAUCUGUAUGCCCCUGCAAGGGACCCGGAGUUGGUGGAAUUUUCCACCAGGCGGCCACUUAUAUUGGCAUCCUCAACCCUCGUGAGUGCCUGGUCCUUGGCGGGGACAUAAAUGUCACCCCAGACACGCAAUACCAGUCGGGCAGGGAGUGGAACCAGGCUGCCAUGCAUGAACUUGAGAAAAUCUUGAUGGGAUCUGCUGGAGUGCAGGCUUUCUGGUCUACUUGGGGGUCUACCUGUCCCCCACAGACCCCUUCCUACCAGAGAACUGGUACCAUCUGGAGCAGCUCUGGGCAUGGAUAGGGCUCCUGAAGUGUCUCUCCCUGAGUGGGAGAGUGAUGGUGCUGAACCAGAUGGUCCUGUCCAUGCUCUGGCACCAUUUACACACCCUGCCUAUGCCCUCUGAGGUCCUGGCAGGGUUCUGAAGCAGCUCUAAGAAUUCCCUGCACCCUUUACCCACUGUCGCAGUCUGGCAGUGUGAGCUGCUGCCUGGCUCUGACUUGCUGUGCACCUGCCAGACACAGAUGGGGACUUCACAGCCAGUAGAGGCAUCCACCCUUUUGGGCCAUCUGCCAGUGGACUAUUGCUGUGGAGUUCGCCUUCCUAUGGCACUACUUUCAUGUGUGCCCACGUCCGGCCAUCUGGGUAGCUAUCACCUGGAAGAUGUUACCAGUGUCGUGGCCUGCUUUGAACUGUCAAAGCAUGUCCUCCUGGCCCCAGUUGACCAGGAGGUCUGCUACCAGAUUUGCCCAUCCCUUUGGCAUGUGCUCACUUAUUAGGGGUACAUUUCUGGGGUCUAUGCAAUUUUAUCAAUGUGCUGCUUGUGUUACUUGUGUUUAUGUAGAGAGCUGUAUCUCUCCCUUCUGCAAGUCCUCACCCUAAAUGAAGCUAUCUUGGAGGACUCAGUUUCAAUGGGGCUGGGUUCCUCCAACCACCGAAUCAGUCAAACACAUAUACAUACAGAUUAACAGGACAUACCUGAGCCAGGCUGGGUCAUUUAGCAUUAACAGGUUAACACCCUCAUAUGCCUUGAACUCAGUUCAUCAGGGAAACAAUAGAAUGAAUUCAGACACAAGCACACGGGUUAACAGAGCGCAUCUGAGUCAAGCCAGACUAUUCAGUAUUGACACGCUGACACCCUCAUGUGCCUUGAACUCAGUUCAUCCCUUAUUUCAUCAGGACAGUAAUAAAUGCAGUUAGACACACAUACACACACAUUAACAGAGUACACUUGAGCAGGCUGGAUCCAAUCAGCACUUUCAGCUGAUAACCUCAUGCAUCUCAAAACUCAGCACAUCCUAAUCUCUUGUCACAAUGGUCCUAGUAGUAACUCCCUUGAUAAGCAGACCCCACCGUAGUUUUUGGCAUAACAGGGAUAUUUGGCUUAGGUAAAAGAAGCAUUGCUGCAGAGCAAAUGGGGAGGUCAAGGGGAAGGAAGAAUAAGGUUCAGAGAGAGAGUAUAGGAACCUGCUUAACCAUAAAAGUUAUUUAUUGCCAGGUGUGAUGAUACCAAUAGUAAUAGCCAUACAAGAGAGACAAAUAAAACAGUUAUAAUAUUCCAUAGUUUCAAUUAGGUAUUUGGAGAAAUAUAGCUCAAGUUUGAUUAGCAAAAGUCGGGUUUAGAAAACUGUGCCUGGAGUAAGAGAAUAAAAGUCAGGUUUCUGGAAUCAGAGAGAGAGAGAGAGAGAGAGAGUGAUCAGCAAAAGUCUGGUUUAGAAAUAUGUGCAAGAGAGUAAAAGUUUGGUUCCUGGCGUCAGAGAGAGAGGGAGAGGGAGAGAGAGUGAGAAAGAGCUGGGGUCUCACCACUUAGUGAAGCUGGAAGCAGACGAGGUGCCCAGGUGUUUGUUGAAGCCUGCAGACAGGCAGAGUUCUGAGCAUGAUCAAUGGAGGGAUUCUAGGCAGAAAAGGAGUAGAACUGGCGCAGCUUUUGUAUGCAAGCACCAGGACAGAAACUUGAGUUUGGGUAGGGGCUUUUGUAGAGAAUUACCAAUGGCUCAAGGGUGAACACUAGGUUUGCUUAUGGGUAAACAAUGGCUCAUAUGCUGGAUAAUAGGAACUGGUCACUCCUGGGUAUGCGUGGCAUUACUCUGAGGGAGUUCACAAUACAGACAGGCAGAUUCAGUGUUUUGGGUACCAAUAAAGGAGUCAUUACUAGAA
Alligator mississippiensis (American alligator) is the source of this 6659-nucleotide long non-coding RNA. RefSeq lists it as uncharacterized. The record is from RefSeq and is a predicted model, not a curated record. The transcript is spliced from 8 exons. NCBI's taxonomy places the organism in Eukaryota, Metazoa, Chordata, Crocodylia, Alligatoridae.